Molecule: unclassified non-coding RNA, 337 nt
Filed under: soil metagenome
Description: partial contains 5.8S ribosomal RNA, internal transcribed spacer 2, and large subunit ribosomal RNA
Rfam family: 5.8S ribosomal RNA (bases 1-120)
Source: RNAcentral
GAUGAAGAACGCAGCGAAAUGCGAUAAGUAAUGUGAAUUGCAGAAUUCAGUGAAUCAUCGAAUCUUUGAACUCACAUUGCGCCCCUUGGUAUUCCGAGGGGCAUGCCUGUUCGAGCGUCAUUACACCACUCAAGCUAUGCUUGGUAUUGGGCGUCGUCCUUAGUUGGGCGCGCCUUAAAGACCUCGGCGAGGCCACUCCGGCUUUAGGCGUAGUAGAAUUUAUUCGAACGUCUGUCAAAGGAGAGGAACUCUGCCGACUGAAACCUUUAUUUUUCUAGGUUGACCUCGGAUCAGGUAGGGAUACCCGCUGAACUUAAGCAUAUCAAUAAGCGGAGGA